Molecule: long non-coding RNA, 284 nt
Filed under: Ananas comosus (pineapple)
Lineage: Eukaryota; Viridiplantae; Streptophyta; Magnoliopsida; Poales; Bromeliaceae
Description: long non-coding RNA (ACOM_LNC005756)
Source: RNAcentral
UAUAGCUAUCUAUACCUCUAUACAUGAUUUUUCAUGGUUAAAUCCAACGUGGAGGUACCACCUUCAUUUGAGGGUGGCCGGUCGACCCACUAUUUAUUUUUAAUUUUUUCUAUUCUCUUUUAUCUUAGUAAAAACUCUUUUUCUCCCUCACAGUCACAUCUUUCAACUCUCUUUCCCUCUCUUUUUUCUUUUUUCUCUGAUCUAUUACUUUUCUUUAUCUCCCAAACCGAUGGCGGCAACUCUCCCUCUCCCCUUACCUCGCCUAUGCAACAAUUUUGAAUCCC